This 429-nucleotide ribosomal RNA is filed under the name Bacteroidota bacterium. Its description in RNAcentral is "Bacteroidetes bacterium partial 16S ribosomal RNA". It matches the Rfam family "Bacterial small subunit ribosomal RNA", at positions 355 to 776 of the family's 1533-position model. The record is from RNAcentral. Lineage: Bacteria; Pseudomonadati; Bacteroidota.
UAGGGAAUCUUCCGCAAUGGGCGAAAGCCUGACGGAGCAACGCCGCGUGAGUGAUGAAGGUCUUCGGAUCGUAAAACUCUGUUAUUAGGGAAGAACAAAUGUGUAAGUAACUAUGCACAUCUUGACGGUACCUAAUCAGAAAGCCACGGCUAACUACGUGCCAGCAGCCGCGGUAAUACGUAGGUGGCAAGCGUUAUCCGGAAUUAUUGGGCGUAAAGCGCGCGUAGGCGGUUUUUUAAGUCUGAUGUGAAAGCCCACGGCUCAACCGUGGAGGGUCAUUGGAAACUGGAAAACUUGAGUGCAGAAGAGGAAAGUGGAAUUCCAUGUGUAGCGGUGAAAUGCGCAGAGAUAUGGAGGAACACCAGUGGCGAAGGCGACUUUCUGGUCUGUAACUGACGCUGAGGCUCGAAAGCGUGGGUAGCAAACAGG